CCAUCCGGCACCGCCCCGCCGCCGGGGGGAAGCCGAGGGGGCUGAGGGAGAUGAAGAAACUGAGGGAGAUGAAGGAGAUGAAGGGACAUGAAGGGCUGAAGGGCGCCGGGCAUUGCCGUACCUCAGCGCGGCUUCAGCUUUCGCGGCGCACAGCAGCCGCGAAGAGCCUUUGUGAGACACUUGGGAGAAAAAGGAGAAUGCACUUUUUUAUUGCUAUUAUUUUUAUUUUUAACUAUUCGUCUAUUUACAGAGACCACUAAAAACAAACAUAAUAAAGUCUUAACAAAAUACACCAACACAUUAGAAAUAAACGCGUUGAAAAUAUUCGCCCCGGGGGUGCUGCUGACCACCCCCUCGCCCUGCCUGCUCUCCUUUACUUCAGACACCGACGGGUGGUGCCCCGGCUGCCGCCCGCAGCCCCGCAGGGCCCGCCGCCAUGGCGCCCCUCAGCACCUCCGGGCCUGCCUCUGCCGCCGCCACCGACGAGGCAUAGAACACAGAUCUUGAAACUAUGAAAAGUUCUUUUGCUUUGGAAAACAUUAUAUACAAGAAAUGGAUGUUCCUUUGUCAUCUUAGAGAGUGUUUUCUAAGGCACAGCUGACAGUUAUCACCCAUGCCAUCCUGUCACGUUAUUUUUUGUGUUGAAAAUAAAUGGAAGUUACUGUU
This is a long non-coding RNA of Cygnus olor (mute swan), 666 nucleotides long. RefSeq lists it as uncharacterized. NCBI's taxonomy places the organism in Eukaryota, Metazoa, Chordata, Aves, Anseriformes, Anatidae. The transcript is spliced from 2 exons. The record is from RefSeq and is a predicted model, not a curated record.